Molecule: ribosomal RNA, 739 nt
Filed under: fungal sp.
Lineage: Eukaryota; Fungi
Description: eukaryotic LSU rRNA
Rfam family: 5.8S ribosomal RNA (bases 237-390)
Source: RNAcentral
UUCUUGGUCAUUUAGUGGAAGUAAAAGUCGUAACAAGGUCUCCGUUGGUGAACCAGCGGAGGGAUCAUUACCAGAGUGCCCUAGGCUCUCCAACCCAUUGUGAACUUACCAAACGUUCCCUCGGCGGGCUCAGCGCGCGGUGGCCUCCGGGCCUCCGGGCGUCCGCCGGGGAAAACCAAACCCUGAUUUAAUCGUAUUUCUCUGAGGGGCGAAAGCCCGAAAACAAAAUGAAUCAAAACUUUCAACAACGGAUCUCUUGGCUCUGGCAUCGAUGAAGAACGCAGCGAAAUGCGAUAAGUAAUGUGAAUUGCAGAAUUCAGUGAAUCAUCGAAUCUUUGAACGCACAUUGCGCCCGCCGGCACUCCGGCGGGCAUGCCUGUCCGAGCGUCAUUUCAACCCUCAGGCCCACCCUUCCGGGGGAGCGGGCCUGGUUCUGGGGAUCGGCGGCCCUCGCGGCCCCCGUCCCUCAAAUUCAGUGGCGGUCGCGCCGCAGCCUCCCCUGCGUAGUAGCACAACCUCGCACCGGAGAGCGGAACGACCACGCCGUAAAACACCCAAUUUUUUAAGGUUGACCUCGGAUCAGGUAGGAAUACCCGCUGAACUUAAGCAUAUCAAUAAGCGGAGGAAACUCAUCAAAUCUUUGAACGCACAUUGCGCCUGGUGGUAUUCCGCCAGGCAUGCCUGUUCGAGCGUCAUUAUAACCACUCAAGCCUGGCUUGGUGUUGGGGUUCGCGGUCCC